Molecule: ribosomal RNA, 948 nt
Filed under: Symbiodinium sp. Mp
Lineage: Eukaryota; Dinophyceae; Suessiales; Symbiodiniaceae
Description: partial Bacterial large subunit ribosomal RNA
Rfam family: Bacterial large subunit ribosomal RNA
Source: RNAcentral
UAAGGUAGCGAAAUUCCUUGUCGGGUAAGUUCCGACCCGCACGAAAGGCGUAACGAUUUGGACACUGUCUCGGAGAGGGACUCGGCGAAAUAGACAUGUCUGUGAAGAUGCGGACUACCUGCACUUGGACAAAAAGACCCUAUGAAGCUUUACUGUAUCCUGAUAUUGAUUUUGGGUUUUGUUUGUAUAGAAUAGGUGGGAGGCAACGAUAAUUUUUUUAUGAAAAGUUUGAGCCAACAGUGAAAUACCACUCUUGCAAAACACAAAGUCUAACUUUAUACUGUGAAUCAGGUUAAAGGACAGUGUUUGGUGGUCAGUUUGACUGGGGCGGUCGCCUCCUAAAGAGUAACGGAGGCUCGCAAAGGUACCCUCAGCAUGGUUGGUAAUCAUGCGAAGAGCGUAUGAGUAUAAGGGUGCUUGACUGGGAGAUCGACAGAUCGAUCAGGUGCGAAAGCAGGCUUAAGUGAUCCGGUGGUUCCGCAUGGAAGGGCCAUCGCUCAAAGGAUAAAAGGUACUCCGGGGAUAACAGGCUGAUCUCCCCCAAGAGCUCAUAUCGACGGGGAGGUUUGGCACCUCGAUGUCGGCUCGUCACAUCCUGGGGCUGGAGAAGGUCCCAAGGGUUGGGCUGUUCGCCCAUUAAAGUGGCACGCGAGCUGGGUUCAGAACGUCGCAAGACAGUUCGGUCUCUAUCUGUUGUGGGCGUAGGAAUAUUGAAGAGAUCUGUCUCCAGUACGAGAGGACCGGGAUGGACGCACCUCUAGUGUACCUGUUGUGGCGCCAGCUGCAUUGCAGGGUAGCUAUGUGCGGAAUGGAUAAGCGCUGAAAGCAUCUAAGCACGAAGCCAACUCUAAGAUGAGUAUUCCAUGAGGGUCGUAGAAGAUGACUACGUUGAUAGGCUAUAGGUGGAAGUGCAGUAAUGUAUGGAGCCGAGUAGUACUAAUUACCCGA